GAGGGUACAGCUCAAGUGGUAGAGCACAUGCUUAGCAUGCAUGAGGUCCUGGGUUCAAUCCCCAGUACCUCCU
Molecule: transfer RNA, 73 nt
Organism: Camelus ferus (Wild Bactrian camel)
Lineage: Eukaryota; Metazoa; Chordata; Mammalia; Artiodactyla; Camelidae
Rfam family: tRNA
About the family: Transfer RNA (tRNA) molecules are approximately 80 nucleotides in length.
Source: Rfam